AUGCUUGUCAAGAUAUGGGACACUGUUCCUAACCCACAUACCCACAUAAAAACUCCACUAAGCAAAUUUUUCAUCGUUGAAGUUGUUGCACUUUCUAGCUAUGAAGAAAAGGAAGGGCAAUUUAGGGAACAUUUAUGGUUGCAGCAAUUUAUUGUGAAGAAAUUGCAAAUAAGAAAUAUGCCUCUUUUGUUGCAAGUGAGGAAUGUUGUCAAUUGGAGAAGAAUGUGCAAUCUAAUCAUAUUACCUGGUUAUAGU
Molecule: non-coding RNA, 255 nt
Organism: Vicia faba (fava bean)
Lineage: Eukaryota; Viridiplantae; Streptophyta; Magnoliopsida; Fabales; Fabaceae
Source: the annotation of a GenBank genome assembly